This is a non-coding RNA of Lactuca sativa (garden lettuce), 822 nucleotides long. The record is from RefSeq and is a predicted model, not a curated record. Lineage: Eukaryota; Viridiplantae; Streptophyta; Magnoliopsida; Asterales; Asteraceae.
GUCACGAAGGAAAGCACCAAGACAGCGGUGCGGCUUUUGGUUUCCUUUCUCGUCGUUGGCCAGAAAGAGGGCUGAGCGAGGAAGAAGCGUGUCUUCGGGGUUGAAGAGACCGAAGGGGAGAAAGCGAGGAACAGCGAGCCGACUUUGAUCUCGGAGGGGGGGUGCAGCGAGGUGCUUCGUGGCUGCUCGCUCGGUUCCAGCAUCGAGGUGCGAAGGGCAAUCAGCGACCACUGGGUUUUUCGGCAGUGGAGCUCGACGUACAAGAAGAAUGGUGCGAUGGACGAAAGGGGAAAAAGAUUCAAGGAUUUUCAGAUCGAGGGUUUGGUGUGGCUGUUCUUGGCUGCUCUUCUUCUGGUUCGAUUGGAAGUAAACGCGAUGGAAAUGGGAGACAGUUGGAUUGAAGGGUAAGGACAAAGCAGCAAACGGAAACGGAAGAACGAAAAAUGGGCUGCGAUAGUGGCUAACAGAUCCCGAAAAAAAAAACGAAUGGGAAGAUUUGUCUGGCAGGGAAGAAAUCGAUGAAGUGUAAGAAGAUUGUUUUAUUCUUGAUUUUUGACUGGGAAGUGAAGGAGAAGAAGGGUGGAGUGUUAGAUUGAGGGUUGAGUGGGGAAGAAGGUAAAUGUGACUGAAGCAACACUUUAGAUGAUUUUUAUUUGAUUGUAAUUGUAUAGAUUGUGGGUUGUAUUUGAUAGUUUAAUUAGUUAAAGGAUGUGUGCAAGCAGUCUUCAAUUUGACAGUCAAAGAAUUGCAAGUUACUUGGCUGUCAAAUUCUUUGUAUUUGGUAGUUUAAAAAAAAUGAAUUUGGUGGUAUAAUGUUGUAUA